This 492-nucleotide ribosomal RNA is filed under the name uncultured bacterium. RNAcentral's name for it is "partial 16S ribosomal RNA". It matches the Rfam family "Bacterial small subunit ribosomal RNA", at positions 28 to 507 of the family's 1533-position model. The record is from RNAcentral.
GAUGAACGCUAGCUACAGGCUUAACACAUGCAAGUCGAGGGGAAACGACAUCGAAAGCUUGCUUUUGAUGGGCGUCGACCGGCGCACGGGUGAGUAACGCGUAUCCAACCUGCCCACCACUUGGGGAUAACCUUGCGAAAGUAAGACUAAUACCCAAUGACGUCUCUAGAAGACAUCUGAAAGAGAUUAAAGAUUUAUCGGUGAUGGAUGGGGAUGCGUCUGAUUAGCUUGUUGGCGGGGUAACGGCCCACCAAGGCGACGAUCAGUAGGGGUUCUGAGAGGAAGGUCCCCCACAUUGGAACUGAGACACGGUCCAAACUCCUACGGGAGGCAGCAGUGAGGAAUAUUGGUCAAUGGACGAGAGUCUGAACCAGCCAAGUAGCGUGCAGGAUGACGGCCCUAUGGGUUGUAAACUGCUUUUAUAAGGGAAUAAAGUGAGUCUCGUGAGACUUUUUGCAUGUACCUAAUGAAUAAGGACCGGCUAAUUCCGUG